This 323-nucleotide long non-coding RNA is filed under the name Nicotiana benthamiana. Its description in RNAcentral is "long non-coding RNA (NBEN_LNC024378)". The record is from RNAcentral. Lineage: Eukaryota; Viridiplantae; Streptophyta; Magnoliopsida; Solanales; Solanaceae.
GACAUGAGGGAAUGGAAGAUGGCAACGGACAAGGCAGGAAACUAGGGCCAAGGCAGUAUGUGCGGUGUAUGGGCGCCGGGCAGUGUGCGGAAAAUAUGAUGGCAGCGGAUUGCGCCGGCAUUGGUAUGGGACAAUGUCAAAUUGACUAAGGCAUGGCUCGAGCAGCCUUAGGGCGGAACGCAACUGGUCAAGAAUUGCACAUGACAAGCACAUGGAAGCGGUUGGCGUAAGUUCCUUGUUUGUAGGCCAUGAUCUCCCAUGUUCCCCCAUUAUCCCCAUGAACUGAUUGUGUUGUAUAGUGGCCUUAAAUUCGUGUAGCAUGN